CUAAAUAUAAUGAAAUGAGAAAUAAUCACUCAUAUUCAGUAGCUCUUCACUGGACAACUUCAUGAUGAUGAAAUGAAGAGAAAGAGCUGACUUCCUGUUUCUCAAAAACAUGAAGGGAAACUCCUUUUUCUAACUUGGCUGUUCACAGAUAAGGUUGAUGUUCAUUCUUUGCUGGUCAACUGAUCCUAAUAGGUCAACUGGUUUUAAAACUUACACUAUCCUCAUUUUAUCUGCAGAAAUUCAGCCUGAAGGUACAUCAGAGUCUGUCUGAGAACAUGCUGACAGUCAACAUGUUACUGAGUGUCUUCUUUCUUCCAGGUGUUUUUGCUGACUACUGUCAAAACAAACCAGUAGGCAUCUCCAUCACAGCACCAAAGGAGAUUGAAGCUCUGAGUGGAUCUUGUCUGGAAAUCCCAUGUAGCUUUAAGACAUUGAGGCAGUUUGACAGCAGGAGACAUACCAAUGGAGUCUGGAUGAAAAAUGACACAGAUUUUAGCAGCGAUCCAAGUGUAGUUAUUUUCCACAGCAGUAGGUCAGUAAACAAAUAUCCACUGAAUAUCACUGGAAACCUGAGAGAGAGAAACUGCACCACUCUGUUUCCUGAUUUAAAUACAAGUUAUACAGACAAAUACUUCUUCAGGGUUGAGAACGGACCGUUCAGAACAACAGCUUGCGCUGAUCCUCUUCAAAUAAAGGUUAAAGAUUCUCCUUGGAGUCCCAGCAUUAAUGUUCCCUCUGACCUGAAGGAGCAUCAGUCUGUCACUGUAACCUGCUCAGC
Molecule: long non-coding RNA, 778 nt
Organism: Poecilia latipinna (sailfin molly)
Lineage: Eukaryota; Metazoa; Chordata; Actinopteri; Cyprinodontiformes; Poeciliidae
Exons: 4
Source: RefSeq, a predicted model, not a curated record